GGGGCUGAUCUGGAUUUGACAGCAAGUCGAGUGGGGAUGUAAGCAUGUCGAGCGUGGUGAAUAUGGCUCGUUAAUCCCAUGUCACAUCGCCUAUAAACGGCAACACUAACUACGCAAUGGCUGCCUGACAGAAGCUGUCAGACGCCAUUUGUUUCCCGGGAAGCCACAUCCGGCCGCGUCCCCAAGGAAACAUCAUCAAAAGCCGGGUUAAGCCAUGUAAGGCCCUGGUGCAUGGACGAAAAACAUAAGGGCUCAGGUAAUGUGAAGGGUCGCCUUUUCCCAAUGCAAUACCGAAACCUCAACUAAAGGAUAAGCAUGUAGAAAGCAUUCUUGCUGCUUGUUUGGACGUGGGUUCGAACCCCACCAGCUCCACCA
This 375-nucleotide transfer-messenger RNA is filed under the name Bacteroidales bacterium. It matches the Rfam family "transfer-messenger RNA". Rfam says of the family: Bacterial tmRNA, also known as 10Sa RNA or SsrA, is named for its dual tRNA and mRNA-like properties. Its role is to liberate the mRNA from a stalled ribosome. Lineage: Bacteria; Pseudomonadati; Bacteroidota; Bacteroidia; Bacteroidales. The record is from RNAcentral.